CUCAACCAAGCUAUUCCUUCACGGAUCGUGGUUGUGGAGACCAUUUUCAAGUUCCUUUCGAGCCUAGGAACCCAGCGAUACUAUUAUUUGGAUGUGAAACCUCGAAAAACUUGAGAAACUAUAACCUCCGAUUUGAGGUACUAUUCAUUCACACGUAAAUAUGUAGUUUUCUGAGAGUUUUGAAGUUAUAGGGAGCUUUAGAUUGUCUUCACGAGGCUCGGAGAAGAAAAAUGAAGUGAUUUGGAUGUUGGGAAGCUCGGGAAUAGGGAGUUACAGGUUUGGCCUGAAUAUCGAGGGAUUUUCCGACGAGUUCAGUCGGUUUUAGGACUUUUGAAAGGUAAGGUUUUGUUGUACUUGUCUUAAGCUUCAUUUUGGUAUAAAAUUUGUGGAAUUUGGUUGAAAAAUGAAAAAGAUUUGAAGGUUUUUCGAAUUUCUAGUUUCUGGCGACCGGCGAUUCGCCAGAGAAGAAAGGAGAAUAUUCCGUCAGUUUUGACGGAAUAUUCCUAACGACAGCUAACGGUGUCAGGUUAGUUUUAACGGAAUAUUCUAAUUUUUAGCAGAAUAUUCCUUAACAGCGGUUAAGGAUUCCGUUAGGGUUGGCCGCGUGUGGAGGCGCAUGAGACGUCGGAAAUUUUUUCUAAAAAUUUGGACGUGUUCGUGGAGUUGUGUAGGUCACGUUGGUAUAUUUAUAUACCUCAUUUGAGCAAUGUAUGAGAAGUUAUUAGCUAGUAUUGGUUAUGUGCUUUAAAUUAAUGUUUUUAUAGUUGUUUCGCAUAUAGGGGAGACUUAUACCGAGGAUGAGCGCAGUCAAGGGCGACUUGGGGGCUACGACCCUUCGACAUACCAGUGAGUGGGCUCUUGAUUUUAAGUAUAUAUGUAUAUGCUUGGUAUCUCUUCCCAGAAAAUGCAUUUAAAUGAGUUAUGACUUAAAUUGCCAUGCCAAAUGAUUUACACUUAGAAUAUGCAUAUGAUGUGUGCAUGUAUAUAUAAUUGUGGUGCUGAGGAUGCUCAGGUAAGUCCCAGGUGAGUAUAUGAACUGUAAAUGUGAAUAACGGUUGUGAUUAGUUGAGAAAUAUUGAGCUCAUAAACCUGCACCCCGGUGUUAGUGAUUUAGCCAGAGAUAUGGCACGGACCUAUAUAUAAUGUCACCUCCCGCACCCCAUGCUCACAUUGGAUCCAAUUUAGGUGCACAGUCUUGUCGUACAGACCAUUAUAGGUGGUUCCGACUCGUUGAUGACUAGCGAUUUAUCGCACAGUUAUCUUAAGAGCGUAGCAUUGAGCAUAACUAUAUUACACCCAGUCUUGUUGUAUAGACCUUUGCAGUGGUUCCGACUCGUGUGCAGUGUAGUGCCGUAUAGGUCACUUGCAGUGACUCCGGCUAGAUUGACUAAUGAGCUAUGAAUUCAGCCGUACAGACUUCUGCAGGGGUUCCGGCUAAUAUGUUAUUUUCCAUGAAUUUAAUUUCACCUGAGUUACUUAUUCUGUUUUAUAUUUGGCAUGGCAUAUUUAUGUUUAUGGAUAUGUGAAGCAUGAUUUAAAUAUAUAUACAUACAUAUUUAUAUUGAUAUUCUAUUUCUGGAGAAAUUAUACAUGUUUUACGGCAAGAGGUUAGAGCAUUUUGAUAAAUGAAAUGAUUUGGAAAAGCUUUGUUUUUGCCCACUCACGUUUUCUGUUUUGCGCCCCUCCAGGUUUUAGGUAAGCUUGUUCGUUGGUGGCUCACAAGGAUUGAACGGAGCUUCUGACAAACUAUCACAAUGUAGGACAUCCUUGGGUGUCGUUUAAUUAGUACUUAUUUUCUGGACUGAACUUAGGCUACUUAUGCUCUGAUUGUGUAUUCACACAUUUUCUAGCACUUAUCUUAACUAGUACUCUUAUGAAUUGGUUUUUAAUUAUUCGUAUUCUCUAUUAUUAUUGUGCUUCCGCACUGUGCACAUGGCUACGUCACCCUCAUGUGACGGCAAGCAUGCCCUGAUUCAGGUCGGGGUGUGUCAUUGAAGGUUUUUUUUUAUUAUAUUUUCUUG
RNAcentral lists this long non-coding RNA (2021 nucleotides) under Malus domestica (apple). RNAcentral's name for it is "long non-coding RNA (MDOM_LNC008867)". Lineage: Eukaryota; Viridiplantae; Streptophyta; Magnoliopsida; Rosales; Rosaceae. The record is from RNAcentral.